Molecule: small nuclear RNA, 72 nt
Filed under: Mus musculus (house mouse)
Lineage: Eukaryota; Metazoa; Chordata; Mammalia; Rodentia; Muridae
Description: U4 spliceosomal RNA
Rfam family: U4 spliceosomal RNA
About the family: U4 small nuclear RNA (U4 snRNA) is a component of the major U2-dependent spliceosome. The structure of U4 snRNA from yeast and human has been reported. U4 snRNA presents a k-turn RNA motif in the 5p-SL related to recognition of Snu13 protein.
Source: Rfam by way of RNAcentral
AGCUUUGCGCAGUGGCAGUAUCGUAGUCAAUGAGGUUUAUCCGAGGCACGGUUAUUGCUAAUUGAAAAUAUG